UGGGGAAUAUUGCACAAUGGGCGAAAGCCUGAUGCAGCAACGCCGCGUGAGUGAUGAAGGCCUUCGGGUUGUAAAGCUCUGUCUUUUGGGACGAUAAUGACGGUACCAAAGGAGGAAGCCACGGCUAACUACGUGCCAGCAGCCGCGGUAAUACGUAGGUGGCGAGCGUUGUCCGGAUUUACUGGGCGUAAAGGAUGCGUAGGCGGAUAUUUAAGUGAGAUGUGAAAUACCCGAGCUUAACUUGGGUGCUGCAUUUCAAACUGGAUAUCUAGAGUGCGGGAGAGGAGAAUGGAAUUCCUAGUGUAGCGGUGAAAUGCGUAGAGAUUAGGAAGAACACCAGUGGCGAAGGCGAUUCUCUGGACCGUAACUGACGCUGAGGCAUGAAAGCGUGGGUAGCAAACAG
This 403-nucleotide ribosomal RNA is filed under the name uncultured bacterium. RNAcentral describes it as "bacterial SSU rRNA". It matches the Rfam family "Bacterial small subunit ribosomal RNA", at positions 355 to 775 of the family's 1533-position model. The record is from RNAcentral.